GCCAGGUGCAGUGGCGCACACCUGUGAUCCCAGCAGCUAGGGAGGCUGAGGCAGGAGGAUUGCGAGUUCAAAGCCAGCCUCAGCAACGGGGAGGCACUAACAACUCAGUGAGACCCUGUCCCUA
RNAcentral lists this small RNA (124 nucleotides) under Marmota monax (woodchuck). Lineage: Eukaryota; Metazoa; Chordata; Mammalia; Rodentia; Sciuridae. The record is from RNAcentral.